GGGGUCCCCUUUGGACUGGAAGAGGUGCUCAUAGUGUCUCGGCUCAGAGGAGGUUACUACGACAAGGAGAUAGGAGAGAGCUGGAGGAGAGCAGAGACAAUGGAAGAUCAGAAAUACAUAGUCUAUGUGCGAGUGAAUGGAUGGGGCCACAUCUGCUGUAGGAUCCCGUCUGACAGCAGCGGACUCUCUGGGGAGGCUAGUAAUGAUUGGGGCGUUGAUAGGUCUGGAUGAAAGGAAGCCCAUUCUCUGAUCCAGCCUAAGUAAUUUUGUUAAAACGGAGCAACUGGAGGGAGACGUUUAUGACUGAGUGGUAUAUAAUUGCAUAAGUAACGCUUGAUUGAUUUUUGUCAGAGCACACUCUAAUCAGAGCAAUGUGCGAUACUGCCGGUCUUCAUCAAUGAGAGGAACAAUGCUGAGACGCGAUAGAAAUUACAAGCCAAAAGGAAUUCUCUAAUGUCCAGUCAGACAUUUUUAUCUUUCUUAUAGGCUGAAAUACAUACAGAAUUCUUACUUUCCUGGCUAAUAUAGCCUACUUUUGUAAUGAUCAUUCAUUCUUCUCUUGGGUGUAGGCUACUGUAUGGGAUAGAAUGCAACCCAUGUUGUACAGGAUAGAAUACAAUCUUGCUUUAGUUUAAGAUGAACUUAACCUAUAUUAUUAUUGUGGUUUUGUUAUUGUUAUUGUGUUGCACAAAUGGAAGAUGGAACGCAUUAUAACAAAAGGCUUGUUGUGUAAAAAGCAUGCUUAAAUCAAGUUAGCUUUAUCUCAGCUAAUGACCUGAAGGGUCAAUGUGAAAGGCUAACUCAUGUAAAUAGCU
Long non-coding RNA from Alosa sapidissima (American shad), 815 nucleotides. RefSeq lists it as uncharacterized. The transcript has 3 exons. The record is from RefSeq and is a predicted model, not a curated record. Lineage: Eukaryota; Metazoa; Chordata; Actinopteri; Clupeiformes; Clupeidae.